UCAGCUCAUUUUAAUCUGUUACAGAUGAACUUGUGAAACACUAUCUUGCAGGUAUAGUCGAUGUAAAUAAAAACUCUUAGAUGUUUUCUUUUAUGUUUCAAGGGAUUCGAUGAGUACAUGAACUUGGUUUUGGAUGAUGCAGAGGAGGUCCACAUGAAGACCAAGAACAGGAAACCCCUGGGACGCGUUAUGUUGAAAGGAGACAACAUCACAUUGCUGCAGAGUGUGGCCAUUUGAUCUUCUGUUAGGAGUUCAUCUGGAUAUCACUUGUUUGCUGUUAGAUUGUUGGUUUUACUUUGUUUUCAUUUGUCAAUAUUUGUAUUGUUGACCCAUGCUUACAAUUGUGGAAACAUUUGUUUUUCUAAUUUUCCCAAAAUAAACCUUUUCUUUUCUCUA
This is a long non-coding RNA of Rhinichthys klamathensis goyatoka, 396 nucleotides long. RefSeq lists it as uncharacterized. The record is from RefSeq and is a predicted model, not a curated record. The transcript is spliced from 2 exons. NCBI's taxonomy places the organism in Eukaryota, Metazoa, Chordata, Actinopteri, Cypriniformes, Leuciscidae.